RNAcentral lists this long non-coding RNA (386 nucleotides) under Theobroma cacao (cacao). RNAcentral describes it as "long non-coding RNA (TCAC_LNC002153)". The record is from RNAcentral. Lineage: Eukaryota; Viridiplantae; Streptophyta; Magnoliopsida; Malvales; Malvaceae.
GGAGUUCGAAGGGUAUGAUGAAGAUGUGGGUCCCAUUACCAUCUGUUGCGGUUGUUGUACCUGUAAUCCCCCUGCCGCCGGACCUUGUACUUCUCUCGACUCCAUCCUCUCUCUCUCUCUCUCUCUCUCUCUCUCUCNCACCUACUCUCUCUCUCUCUCUCUCUCUCUCUCUCUCUCUCUUUUCUAAACUAAAAUUCUUUAUUUUUCUUCCAAAGAAAAUGGGAAACGGAAGAAUCGAAAAAGAAGUGUAAUGCGAAGCAAGUUCUAAAUAGUUUGUGUGAGUUAUCUACUUUGAGAACUGGGGAACUGGAAGGAACUCAAAAGGAAGAGUACAAAUAAAAUUAAAAAACUGGGGAAUGAAUGCCGGAAAAUAAGCCCAUUUAGUU